This 10367-nucleotide long non-coding RNA is filed under the name Homo sapiens (human). Its description in RNAcentral is "HSALNT0346231". The record is from RNAcentral. Lineage: Eukaryota; Metazoa; Chordata; Mammalia; Primates; Hominidae.
GGAGAACAGCUGCUCACGCUCGUCGUCUGACAUCAGCUAUUUCUCAGGAUGACCCUGCGAGACAGGCCAGGGUCAUUAGACCCAAUUUGGUUCUCAGCAAAUAUGUGUUUAUUCCUGCAUGCGUGGGCCACAGGCUGGUUUCUUGGGUGCAAUGAAUAGCUGCAGGUUUAUUAGGGUGUCUUUUUAGAUGGAUGUAUGUUUCCCGAUGUCUAUAGAACACUCCGGACCCCGGAGAGUGAAGACUCUGCCUGUCGGACUUGCUUUGAGAAGAUCCUUCUCCACCUCCCCAUGGCAGAAGUUGCUUCACAGAGGGGAACAGUUUUAUGGAUGUGGCUGAGACCUUAAACUUGAGGCAACCCAUCUGAGGUGGCAUCCAGAGGAGACUGGCUGGCCCCUCCUUCACCUUGGAUGUAGUGCUGUUUCUAGGAUCUCUUUUCAAUCAGCAAAACAGGGGAUGUUCCAAGAGGGUGUGGAUUCCCUGCCAUCCCACAUGGUCAAGUGGAGGGGACGGGAAAAAGCUAUGAAGGGUUUGUGACCACACAGACUCUCCUGGCCCCCUGUCCUUUUGGAAAGAAGACAGGGAUGAAAUAUAAUCAAGCAAUUAACCACCCCCAUCAUCACCAAGAACAACAGUAUCAACAAGAAGAACAGGGACAACAAAACCCACGGAUGAAACAUUCCUUUCUCAGCUCAGAUCUUAUCUGGUGCGUUCUCUCUCUGCUCUGUCUUGGUGUGUGGUUUAGAGAAACAUGGACAACGCUGUUUGGAAGAACAGGGUCGAGCUGUUCCUGAUGUUUAUCGGAGACUGGGAUCAAAGCUAUCCAGGUCAUAAAUCUCUCUCUGUGGCUGUUGGGCCCCAGGGCAGCUGAAGAGGGUUGACAGCCCUUUGGACCUCAAAGGAAAAAAUGUGCUCUACUCCACCCACUCCCAGCUCUGCCAAGAAGCUGUCCUCUGAGAAGCCAUGGCUGGGCCGUUCCAUUCUGGGGAGCUGCUGAAAAGAGCUGGGAGGCCGAGAAGAACUUGCGUGUGCUGGGGGAGAGGAAGCCUGGCCUUGAGGGAGGGGUGCAGGUGUGGCUCCUCUGUGUGUGGGGGCUGGGGGACCUUGUGUGCCUUUUCCUUGUGGCUGUGAAAUGCUUUAUGAGUACUUCCAUAGGAGGAUGGACAGGGAGUCGGGGAGAUAAACUCAGCCACAAGGCCCCAGGGCCUCAGGAAACUUGCACCCAACCCUCUCAUUUUACAGAAGAAAACUGUGCCUGGAAGGUUGAAGGGUUUGUUCCCAGUCACACAACCAGGGAUCCUUAGGACAGCCAGACCAGGAAACCAUUUCCAAACUGCCAAGCCAUGGCAGAGUAUCAAGACCUCAGGAACCAUCGAGACACCAUGGAAGCAUUGGGAAAAGCCUCCUUAGCUUUUGAAGCUCCUCAUUGUUCUUGAGUGUGCAUGGAGCCCAUGACUGCGGGGUUUUGUAGACACCUCAGGGAUUACAUGACUGGUACCCCUGACAAAGUCAAGGCUGCUGGACAAAAUGAGUCCGAGGAUUUCAGGGGCAGCUGGGCGCAGGAGCUGGUGGGCUGUUGGGAGUGCCCCUUUACUGGGCAGGCUUCCUUCCUCCUGGUGAUGGGGGGUUCCUCAGCACAAAAGUGAAGGGGUGGAGGGGCUGGAGGAGCAGGAAUCUCUCUUGUUGAUAGGUAUGAGGCCUUGAAGUCCUUUUCUUUGUCCCAGGAUUCAUGGACGCUUCGGGGCUGAUCUUUGAGUUUUCAAGCAUGGGGUGCAGAGACGUUUAGGUAAACUCUUACCGUCCUCUCUCUUCGUCAGGGCUUCCCAGGAAUCAACAAUGCCCAAGAAGGAAGGGAUUGUAGAAAUAGCUUAACCCUUUCAUUUACCAACGUGGAAAUUGAAGCCCAGGGAAGGGAAGGGACCGGUCGUGGAAGGGAGAGCCAUCAGCAGAAAGAGACCCUGAGAUCUUCGCCUGGGAUUCCCAGGAAGUCCAGCCCGAGCUGAUUCACAGAACAAAUGCAUGCAAACCUUGCUAUCAAUAAAUUACACAUGCACUUACGUAAAACACAUAAAAAUAUAUGGCCUUGGUUUUGGAACAAUACCCCACAGAUAAAAGUAGCUUUAAAUCCUCCAUAAAAUGAUAAAGUCUAGUCCUAAACUCCUAGCAGUUCUGCGGGUGAUCACAGGCGGCAGGAGCCGCUCAAACUUUAAUGGCUUGGUAUCUCCACAUGUAGACAGGAGGCAGAAAACCAUCGGGGAUGAAGUCGUGGGCUCUAGAAUUGCAAAGACGUGGGUUCCAGGCCAGGCUUGGCCCUUGCUAACUGUUGACCUUGAGCAAAUUACCCAACCUGUUCCUUAUUUGUUUCUGCCUCAUAGGUAGUUGUGCAGAUGAAAUGAUAUCAGUUCUCAGAACAGUGCUGGGGACAGAGUACACUCUAUGCUCAAUACAUAUUCACUUUUAGAGAUAUCUUGGGAUUCUCAGUCUAAGUGACAUUCAAAAGUACCUCACUGGGAGGCAAGACCAAGGUGGAGCCUCCUCUUGGAUGGGAUGUGGGCCUAUUUUAUUUUACUUCUUUAUUUUUGUAGGUGCAUGCCACCACACUUGCUAAUUAAUUUUUUUUUUUUUUUUUUGUAGAGAUGGGGUCUCACUAUGUUGCUCAGGCUGGUCUUAAACUCCUGGCCUCAAGCAAUCCUCCUGCCUCAGCCUCCCACAGUGCUGGGAUUACAGGCAUGAACCACUGAGCCCGGCACCUCUAUUUUAAAUCUAUUUUAUCUUUUGAGAUAUAGUCUUGCUCUGUCACCCAGGCUGGAGUGCAGUGGCGCGAUCUCAGCUCCCUGUAACCUCUGCCUCUCGGGUUCAAGCAAUUCUUCUGCCUCAACCUCCCAAGUAGCUGGGACUACAGGCGCCCGCCACCACGCCUGUCUAAUUUUUUGUAUUUUUAGUAGAGACAGGGUUUCACCAUGUUAGCCAGGAUGGUCUUGAACUCCUGACCUCGUGAUCUGCCUGCCUCGGCCUCCCAAAGUGCUGGGAUUACAGGCGUAAGCCACUGCACCCGGCUAUUUUAAAUCUACAGACAAAUCACCCAUGAAGUGCAGUGGGGGAAUAGAGGGCUGGGCUCAGUUAAUUCAGAAGAAGAUUUAUCCCAGGAUCAGGAAAUGAGAGUUUCAGAUGUUGCCAGUAGCUUAAGUGGCUUUUAGGGCCUUUUUUCUGUCUGGCCAGGGCUCAUCCUGGGCUGAGCUUUAAGGCCUGUUAGGGGCUGAAUUCUGUCCCCCUCAAAGUUUAUAUGUUGAACUCAUAACCCCAGUACCUUAGACUGUGACUGUAUUUGGAGAUAGGGUCUCUAAAGAGGUAAUUAGGUUAAAAUGAGGUCACUAGGGUGGGCCCUAGUCCAAUAGAAAUGUGUCCUUGUUGGAUAAGGGGCAACGUGGACACAGACACGUGCAGAGGGGAGCCCCUGUGAAGAAGCGGGGAGAAGACAGUCACCUGCAAGCCACAGACGGGGCCUGUGAAGGAACCAAUCCUGUCAAUACCUUGGUCUUGGUCUUGGCCUUCCAGCCUCCAAAACCCAGAGGCCAUCAAUUUCUGGUGAGGCAGCCCUAGCCGCCUUUCUAAGCGUUCAUACUCCUGGUUUGGCAGAGGGGAAGGGACCACGGCCAGCGCUUCUUAAACCUUCGUGUGUGUGAAACUCACUUCCUGGGGAGCUGGAUCAAGAUGCAGAUUCUAUGACCAUCUAGUUUCCCCUUUCUCAUCCCUUAUCUAAUUUGCUCCUCUGUGGAACUGUGUGAAGUAGACAGGGCAAGAAUUUUCAUCCCCAUUUUCCAGAUUAAGAAACUGAGUCUCAGAUGGAAGAAUCACAGCAAGUGAGAGGCAGUCAAGCCUCCAACUCAGGUCAAGUGAGGCGUCCUCACAUCCCAUGCCCCCCGUAAUUUCCCGAUCCCUAGCAGGGGCACCUGGGGAGACUCCCUGGUGAUGCUGUGUCAGGACUCCCUUCUUUAUUUUGAGACAGAGUUUCACUCUUGUCACCCAGGCUGGAGUGCAGUGGUGUGAUCUCAGCUCAUUGCAACCUCCACCUCCCAGGUUCAAGCAAUUCUCCUGCCUCAGCCUCCCAAGUAGCUGGGAUUAUAGGUGCCUGCCACCAUGCCUGGCUAAUUUUUGUAUUUUUAGUUGAGACGGGGUUUCACCAUGUUGGCCAGGCUGGUCUUGAACUCCUGACCUCAGGUGAUCCACCUGCCUCGACUUCCCAAAAUGCAGGGAUUACAGGUGUGAGCCACCGUGCCUGGCAGGGCUCCCUUUUUGACAGACACUGUCUUAGACCUCAGGCUCCCUCAGGCCUUCGCUCUUGGGGGUUGGAGCUGAGGGGAGGAUGGAAAGUGUCCCUCCCCAUCACAGCGCAGCUAGCUGGUGAGAGGGGCUGGGAGCUCCCGGAUCUGUCUGGACAUGCAGCCACUCCUGGCAGUCCCCACCCCUCCUUCCACCCAGCCCCUCUGCCUUCCAGCAAGUGAAUGAAGUCAGGCAGGCCCUGGGCCAUCCCGGGUGAAGGAGGGAGUGGGCAUGGCUUGGCACUCCAAGGGCUCGCCAUUGGGAGGGGCGUGGAGACGGUGUGAACUCCUUGGUGUCUUGCUCUUGUCAUCUUCCAGCAUGACAUAUGCACAAAGGUACCUUUUAUAGGUGGGAAAUUAUAGGUGCUGCCACUUCAAAGGCCUUGGCAACCAGAGCUCCUCUUUGAUAGAUGACAGUAUUAUUAAUGGUGAUUUAUUGCUGGGGCCAUUUUGACAACAGAAAUAACCAGUUUCCCCACCUUUUCGGCUCUCUUCUCCCACACCUUCCUGGGGAUUUUUUUUUAUUUUGGCUGGCCCUGUGUGUUUUUCUGGCUGCAGGGGUUACCUCCCUGCACGAGGAGGCAUGGGAGGUAACCCAUGGAGCAUCUGCUUAAGGCACAUAGUGAGGCAUCUGGCUUAUUAACUUGUCAUCAUGUGUCAUAAAGUUUAGUGAAAUGCUGGCAGAUUGUAAUCCUAAACAGGGCAAUUACCCUCUUAUUAAAGCAGUACUUUUUCUGUCUGUCUGUCUGUCUCUCUCUUAUUUUUCUCUCUCUCCCUGCCUCCACCCCCUUUCCUGGGAUUGUUGUUACCUCUGCCCUACUUGCACAAUUAGUCAUGAGCGGAGGUCACCUGCUUCAUAAUGAUCCCAGAGUAGGCCUGGCCUUGGCGGGGCAGAGCUGAAGGGGAAGGGGCAAAGGAGAGCUAACCAUGGUGAGGCUUGCUGCAGCAAGCUGGCCUCACGGGGCAUGGGGACAAGGCGCUGUCCCAGGCGGGAGGCUGCAGUAAGAAGGUUGUGGUCUGAGGUUUCUGGCUGCAGGCAGCGAGAAGGAGAGAGGAGAGAGAGCUGACAGGAGCGACUGAGCCUCUGUGGACUUCGCCGCUCACCCAGAUUUUCCGGCAGAGAUGCCUCCCUCUGCCUUUUUCUCCCUCACUUUCGUAUCUCGAAACACAGGUGGAAAAUAAGAAAGGAAGUGGCAGUGGGUGAUGGGGGCCUGGGACAUGAGGACUCCUCACUUGAUCUGAAUUGGAGGCUUGGCUGCCACUCACUUGCUAUGAUUCUUCCAUCUGAGACUCAAUUUCUAAAUCUGUGAAAUGGGGGUGAAACAUCUUGCCCUGUCUGCUUCCCACAGUUUUAGGGAAGAUCAAAUUAGAAAAGGGAUAGGAAAGGGGAUGGCUCAUGGUAACUCACUCCACAAAUCUGAGGGAUGAUUGUAAUUUCAUAUGUGUGACCACAGGGUCUUAUGUCAUGUCUAACGGAGCUCUACCCCCGUGAUUCCAAAGGAUCGUUGACUAUAUUGAAAUUUGGUCUUCUGUCUCUUUCUGUAUUCCUCAGGGUUUUGAUGACCUUGGUUUCUAAAUCUGCCUGGGAGGCAUUGUUUGACUCUGGUCUGAACAACAGGAGUUUUCGGCACAGGUGUGAUCAUGUUACCUGCACAGUGCGAGGUUAAGAAGACAAAUGGGGGUAGGCUAGAGGCAACAGCCAAAUCACAAUUUGCCAGAUCUGAAAAGACCUUAGAGAUUACCUAGCUGAAUUGUCCCCUGCUGUAGAUUUGUAAAUCGAGGCUCGAAGAGGUAGAAUAACUUUCCUAAAAAUCAUCAGAUAAAUGACAGGCAGAGUGGAGACUAGAUCUCCCAUCGCCAGACUUGGCCCAGUGCUCUGUCCACCAAAGCAUGUUGACUGCAUCAACUCUGGGUGCACCUUCUCCUCCUUUAUCAUCAGUCAGCGUUCAGGAAAGCACUGCUAGCAGUCAUUUACACCUUAGCAUGAAUUUAAGCCAACAUUUAGUUCUCCCAGGUGCAUUUGCUUUUUUUUUUUUUGAGAUGGAGUUUUGCUCUUGUCGCCCAGGCUAGAGUAUAAUGGUGUGAUCUCAGCUCAUUGCAACCUCCACCUCCCGGGUUCAAGCGAUUCUCCUGCCUCAGCCUCCUGAGUAGCUGGGAUUACAGGCACCUGCCACCACGCCUGGCUAAUUUUUGUAUUUUUAGUAGAGACGGGGUUUUGCCAUGUUGGUCAGGCUGGUGUCAAACUCCUGACCUUAGGUGAUCUGCCCACCUCGGCCUCCCAAAGUGCUGGGAUUACAGGCGUGAGCCACUGUGCCCAGCCGCAUUUGCUUUUGAGGUCUCAUCCCAUUGUAUAGAUUGUUCCCUGUCAAUGGCAUUUCCAGCACUGGUGAGAAGAGAGGCAAGGCAGGGCUUGUGAUUCUCAUCCCCAAGACCCUGCCACUUGCCUACUCGCUCGGGCAAUGAGGGCGGGCACUGCUUCCAGAGUUAAACUGCACUGGACCCAGAUCUAUGUGUCCAUAAGUCAGAGCAAGUUUGUCAGAAGCUGUCAGGGAGUAAGGCUGAGUAGACGGAUGGAGUCAGACUCAUUUAAAAAUGGAAUACCAGCAGAUAGGUUUAAAAAUGGAAUGCGGCCGGCUAGAGUGAAGGUGGUCCCUAAACCAAACACCUGUCCCUUCUGUGUGUUUUCUGGUUUCUUUCCCCAUUGCUCGAGAAUGCUAGAAGCCAGACUAGUAUUAAGAACUCUAAAUUCCUAGCCUGGCAUGGUGGUUUACACCUGUAAUCCCAGCAACUUGGGAGAUCAAGGCAGGAGGGGAUCACUUGAGCCCAGGAAUUUGAGACCAACCUGGGCAACGUGUUGAAACCCCAUCUCUACAAAAAAUACAAAAAUUAGUCAGGCAUGUGGUGCAUGCCUGUAGUCUCAGCUACUUGGGAGGUUGAGGUGGGAGGAUUGCUUAAGCCCAGGAGGUCGAGGCUGCAGUGAGCCAUGAUCGCGCCACUGCACUCUAGCCUGGGUGACAGAGCGAGACCUUGUCUCAAGACAAACAAACAAACAAACAAACAAAAAACUCUUAAGUUCUAAGUGCCUGGAGCAGGGAGUGUUUCUGAGGCCUCAUGUUUACCAGGGCACUGUGCUAUGUGCAGGGUAGUGAGGGGGAGAGACACCAUUCCAACAUCUUGGAGCCCAAGUCUAGAGUCAGGGCCACAGAGGCGGGAGAGGAAGAGAAUCCCACUGCAAAUGGGCUGGGCCUCCCUGCCUUUGCCCAUUGAGUGAGCAACAGUGCUGUUUCUAUAGGUCUCUUUGAGCCUUAAGCAUGGAAUGUGAUGAGACUGAACAGUGAUAAAAUGUAUUGAUGGAACUUCUGUUCAUUGAAAUGCAAAGGGGAAGAAAGAAUUUAGAAAUGAUCUGAGGUUUCCAGCUUGGGGAGAGAGAAAGUGAGAGGAAGUGGGGGCCUAAGGGGAAUGGAAUGAACAGCCCCGACUUCAGGCUUGUAGACUGCAAUGGGGCAAGGCAGCUACAUGCAAAUGUCCUUCCUGGAGCCUGGAAACAAGGUCAAAGCAGAGAUGGACAAGUAGGAGCGCAGCCUAGAGGAGAUAGGUGAUGCCUGAAGCCAUGAGAAGGGGUGUUAUCUCUGCAGGAAGAAGAAUUGCAACACUCCUCCCAGCUGAGCAAACAGUCUGGGCUGGGAUGUGAGUGGUAUCACACUCUGCACUCACUUCCUCCUUCAGUGGUCAUUUGAGAGUUCACUGGGGCUGACCUACCCCAUUGGUCCUGGAGGACAGAAAGGAAUGGAGAAUAAAGAAGGUCUAAGGUGCAGUUUUUCCCCCUCCUCCAAAGCCAUGAAGGGACCUAUGGAUUUGAAAGCUGUGUGUGGUCACUGUGGACAGAGUGACUCCUACCCCACUGGGGGGCUUUGCCAGCCAAGGCACAAAUCAAGCCUUCUCUUUGCCCUCUGAAGUCAAAGGGAGAAGACCGGGGUUGUCCAUCUUUAUAGGCAGCCUCAGAUGAUCCAACCUAAUAUACGUCAUUAACAAAUUGUGUGAUCUUGAACAAGUCAGUUUAUCUCAUUGUGACUCAAGUGAACAUAAGGGUAUAGAGCAUUUGCCCUGCUGACCUCACUGGAUCAUUGUGAAAUAAUAGCUAAUGAGAUGGUGCAUAGCAGGUGUUUUGUAAACUUAACAGUGAUAGGCAAAGCUUAGUUCCCAUGAGAAUGACUCUCUGACUAUUAUCUAUGGCAUUGGAAUACUGACCUCCCUUCUCUGAGAAAGCUCCAGCGGCAAAAUGCUUCUGAUCUCAAACUUUAGGACCAAUUUUCUGGUUUACAGGGCAGGACGAGCCCCUUCUCUUAAGGAUCAAGGGGAUGAAGGAGAAUUCCCUGCUUUUGGUGGGGGGUUACUUCUGAAAGCCAUGCCCUGCUCCCAUCUGAGGAGGUCACCCAGUCCUAGUUUUGUCUGGAAGCACCCUGCCCAGCCCCAGGGGCCAGCCCCAUCCCAGCCAGGCCUCAGAGAUGUCAGACCUGAAAGGCAGCUGCUGCCUCUCCUUCUGACAGGUGUCUCCGCCAGAGCUGGGAGAUGAGGAGAUAGGCGAGCUGAGCACCUUUCCUCCUUGAAUUGAUAACUGCUUUGCAAUGCAGCUCUGUACUUGCUAAAUGAAACCUCCUGCCCCACCAUGAUGGAUUUAUGGCUGAAACAUCUUAUCUCAACUGAGAAUAUUUUAUGAGUGUGCAUGGGUGUGUGUGGGAUAGGAGGAGGGAAAAGGCAGUUUUGCAAACAUUUCUAGAGGUGCUCCAUAAUCUGCCCUACCCUGAAGUAUUAUCUAGAAGCUCUUUCUAGAUCUGCCAGGCUUAAGCAUCUAUAAGUCUUCUCCAGAUGCUAGCACAAUGUAGAUGCCUCAUGAAACAUUUGCUGAUGAUGAUGAUGACGAUGAUGACGAUGAAGGCUGUGGUCUGGAAGGGGACUCUGUUUUUGAUAAGUUUAAUUCAAUCCAGCAAAUAUUGAACAAAUGCUCAUUUUUGUUCAGGGCUAGGAAAGCUACUAUUAUUAUUUUUUUGGUGGGGUGGAGAAAGGGGAGAGUUGGAGAAUAUAAAAAUAAAUGACACAAACUCUUUUCUCUACAUCCUUGGUCUAUACUGAGGGGCCAGGACAUGCACAUUCGGAGUGGAUGUGGAGCAGAAGGGGUUGGAGUGGCAAGAACUAAUGGCCCAGAGUGUAGCUUCAGGAGCUGGACACACCUGGUGGGAUCUUUAGGUAGUUUCUUGUCUUUUGAGCUCCUCAGUUUUCUCCCCUCUAACAGGGGGACAACACUAUUCCCUAGCUCUAAGGUUGGUGUGAAGGUCAUAGGAUUUGCGUAGGGGUUACUUGGUACCAUGUGGGGUCAGCAGCUCAGUAGCAUCACCAACACGAGGAUGAAGAUGAAGGACCGACUCACUGACGAGGGUGGGCUGGAGAUGACUGGGAGCCAGGAACCAUCACAAACUCAGGGCUCUGUGUGCACUGGUUAUCCCAUUCUUUUGCAACCUUGUAAAAUUAAUUUAAUAGGUAGUACAUCCAAGUGGUUUAAAAAGCAAAAGGUAUAAAGAAAUAUGCAGUGAAGAUGAAAAUUGCUCUCAGUUCUGACCCCUCACUAUUGUGCUCCUCCUUCUCAGAGGCAGCUGUUGUCAUUGGUUUCUGGGGCAUUCUUUCCAAGGGCGUUGUACACCCAGCAUCUAAUGAUGCUACCUCUUCUUCCUCUUUCUUGUUUUAACCCAAAAGGAGGAAUUGGGAGUUGAUGAUAGCCAUAGAGUGGAAGGCAGCAGCUGGAGGGAGGAAGCUGGAUGUAUCUGAGCAUCUACUACGUGCCAGGCCCAGAUGAAAUCUUAUCAGUUCUAGCGAAAUUUGGAGAAAGAUUCACUGUCUUAGAAUUUGAAAACAUCAGUGCUGGAGGGGAAGGUGGAAGCCAUCUGGCUAAUCUUCAUUUACUGAUAUGGAAGUGACUAGUCCAAAGUCCCAGAGCUUUCUGAUUUUUGCUUCUUCUUGCUAGGAAAGCAAUUAUCCUAUAAUAAUCCUUCUUUACA